Long non-coding RNA from Pan troglodytes (chimpanzee), 565 nucleotides. RefSeq lists it as uncharacterized. NCBI's taxonomy places the organism in Eukaryota, Metazoa, Chordata, Mammalia, Primates, Hominidae. The record is from RefSeq and is a predicted model, not a curated record. The transcript has 3 exons.
GACAAAGCCUGAGCCAACGUAGGACAGAGAGGGAAGAAAGGAGGUGACAAAUUGGGUAUGUGAGAGGUCACCAGGCAACGUAAUAGAAGAUCCGCUGUCAUUCCAGCUGAAUGAAAGUUUUUCAGAGUUUGGAGUUGGUUGAGAGAUUCUCACAUCAACCCACCUUCCCUCAAAAUAGAGGAAAAGUGGAUUCCACCAGAAUCAACAUGAAUAGAAUGAGCCGAGAGUAAUCCAGGCAGGCCAUUGACUUUGAAAUGAGAGAAAGACAGAAAUGAGACUCCACAGAAACAAAUCAAUGUUGCAGAGGACAAGCUUUUCCCUUCCAUGAAGCAGAGAAAAAUAAAAUGUAUGAAAAUGAUGAAAGAGAAGACGUUGUGAGACAGAGUACAGGGAGAUAGCCAGGAAUUUUGAGAGGCCCUGAGGAAAAUGCGCCCCUGUACCCCAAAUUAUAAACAGUACUCAAAGACGUAUUUGAGGAAAUCAUCUAACGUGAUUGAAAUCUACGUAUGUAGACUUUUCAGUCUGACUAUGUUUCUAGGAAAAAAAUACAUAAGAGAAACACUCU